GGAGUUGUGCCUGAAAUAAAGGGCCACUUUGAUAGAGUGACUCAUAAGGGUUAAAUUCCCUUCAACUCCU
This 70-nucleotide transfer RNA is filed under the name Lepidion lepidion (Mediterranean codling). RNAcentral's name for it is "tRNA-Ile". It matches the Rfam family "tRNA". From Rfam's summary of the family: Transfer RNA (tRNA) molecules are approximately 80 nucleotides in length. The record is from RNAcentral. Lineage: Eukaryota; Metazoa; Chordata; Actinopteri; Gadiformes; Moridae.